This 339-nucleotide unclassified non-coding RNA is filed under the name soil metagenome. RNAcentral's name for it is "partial contains 5.8S ribosomal RNA, internal transcribed spacer 2, and large subunit ribosomal RNA". The stretch from base 1 to 120 matches the Rfam family "5.8S ribosomal RNA", at positions 35 to 154 of the family's 154-position model. The record is from RNAcentral.
GAUGAAGAACGUAGCGAAAUGCGAUAACUAAUGUAAAUUGCAGAAUUCAGUGAAUCAUCGAGUCUUUGAACGCACAUUGCGCCCCCUGGUAUUCCGGGGGGCAUGCCUGUCCGAGCGUCAUUGCUGCCCUCAAGCACGGCUUGUGUGUUGGGCUCCGUCCCCCCGGGGACGGGCCCGAAAGGCAGCGGCGGCACCGAGUCCGGUCCUCGAGCGUAUGGGGCUUUGUCACCCGCUCUGUAGGCCCGGCCGGCGCCAGCCGACAACCCAUCAUCCUUUUCAGGUUGACCUCGGAUCAGGUAGGGAUACCCGCUGAACUUAAGCAUAUCAAUAAGCGGAGGA